UGUCUCGUGACGUAGGGAUAAAGUAGAAUUGGGUCACUAUACUUGAUGUGAGUGCACUAUAUAUUUUAUUAAAUAACCCAGGAGUUAUACCUAAAAUAUAUCAACCAUCCUAAAACACCCCUGACACCCUACACUUUCUAAAAUACACUCCGUAUGUGAAAACCGAGCCCGAAAUACAAUAUAGCAUUAAAAAUAAAUGAAAAACAAGAAAUGGUAAAUUGAGGCGGGCCGCGUGAGCCCACCCCAAACCCUUACGCGGGCCGUAUGAAAGCUAGAACCGGACUCCUUUGGUUUCUUAAGUCUAGGCGGGCCGCGUAAGGCCACACCGUUAGUUUACGCGGGCCGCGCGUGUUCCAAAUGGUGGCGCAACUCUGAGCUGACACGUUUCGAUAUCGUGUCGAGUCUACCUGGUGACCAGGCUAAGCUACGCAGUUGACCAGAGUCAACGCGGGCCGCGUAAGCCCAGUCCAUAUUUUACGCGGGCCGCGAGGGAGUCCAGUAUCAGCAACUAUAAAUAGCAGGCAUCGGAUUUCAUUUCUGUUCGUCCCAAAUUUCAUUCUCAAUCACAAUUUCUGUAGUAGGCUUAUAAUACGCAGGUAUUAUACCCCCUAAUUAGCGAAGCUCUGCCUCGUUAUUAUAACCAGGAAGCCACAAGGGAAAUACCUAAAAUAGCAAUGUGAGUAAUCUCCUUUUUUAAAUGCUUUUACAAAACCUUACAUACUUUUCCAUGCGAAUGACAGUUAUUGAGUAUUUGUAACUUAGUGUAAAGCCAAUAGAAGCCAGCUGGAGAGCACUGAAGACUUGGAAAAGUGGCAAUAAAGUUACCUAAAAUAAAAUAGAUAUUUUUAUUAAAUAAAAUAGGAUUUAUUCCUAUGAAAAUGUAUGUACUGAAAAACUUGGGUUUUAUCCCAUGUGUUUAAUAUAAUGAAAAUAUGGUGGUUU
This 942-nucleotide long non-coding RNA is filed under the name Helianthus annuus (common sunflower). RNAcentral describes it as "sRNA HanXRQr2_Chr10g0426961". The record is from RNAcentral. Lineage: Eukaryota; Viridiplantae; Streptophyta; Magnoliopsida; Asterales; Asteraceae.